Molecule: ribosomal RNA, 301 nt
Filed under: uncultured bacterium
Lineage: Bacteria
Description: partial 16S ribosomal RNA
Rfam family: Bacterial small subunit ribosomal RNA
Source: RNAcentral
CAGUAGCCGCGGUAAAACGGAGGGAGCUAGCGUUGUUCGGAAUUACUGGGCGUAAAGCGCACGUAGGCGGCUAUUCAAGUCAGGGGUGAAAGCCCGGGGCUCAACCCCGGAACUGCCUUUGAAACUAGAUAGCUUGAAUCUUGGAGAGGCGAGUGGAAUUCCGAGUGUAGAGGUGAAAUUCGUAGAUAUUCGCAAGAACACCAGUGGCGAAGGCGGCUCACUGGCCCGAUACUGACGCUGAGGUGCGAAAGCGUGGGGAGCAAACAGGAUUAGAUACCCGUGUAGUCCCUGUCUCUUAUAC